CCCUCUGGAGCCAACUGUUCAGCCAAUCGGCAUAGGGAAGCGCUCGGGAAUUCUGGGAGCUGUAGUCGGCCUCCGACGAAUGCUGCAAACUUUUGCAAGAGGCUUUAGUCAUAUCGCUGGCAAUACCAGACGAGAGUGACAGCCCGGGGAGUCAUUAGGGCUGCAUGAUGAAACGGGACGUUACGGGCGGACGCUAGAGAGCCAGGUGUGAAAUCCAUCCCAAGAAGGAAGCCUCAGGUCCAGACAAAAGAGAAGAUUUGAGCGUGGGAUGGUGAUGGACGCCUACAAUCCCAGCUCCGUGGGAGCCAGAAAGUUGUCUGCAGGAGACUAGAAUCUUGAAGCGCAAGCCCCCAAUCUGGAUCCAACUACACCUUAAUAGGCUGCCCCAGAAGUCGCACAUUUCCAGAAAGAACAACUUCUCCCUUGCUUUUUAGCUGUGUGAACCUACACAUCUCUGAACCUGUUUCCUGUUGUAUCAAACCGUGCAGUAAAGUUUACUCCACAGGGGUACUGUGGGGACGAGAGCUAAGGCCCGAAAACCCCUUAACGAGGUUUGAUGCCGGCUGAACGUUCAAUCAGUCAUACUUAUUAUUUAUAUUAUGAUUGUUCUUAGUCUAACGUAUCUAGCUCAGUGAUUGGCAGACAAUGGGUACUGAAGGUGGCUAUAACUAUCACUGCCUAAAAACUCUAGAGCACAGAGCCUGGCAUUUAGCAGGUGCAGAAUAAAUGGUAGACAGCUUUUUUUUUUUUUAACCUAAGGACAAAAAAAGCAUAUUUUCAACCCCAACGUCUCUGUGAAGUUACGGUACUCGUUUUUGCUCGGCAACAGGCUCCUCUUACGUAAUCCUUCUCGGCCAAUGAGCAGAAAGGAUUUCCUUUAUUUCAGAAGAAGAUCUUUGCUGCUCUGAUUGUUGAUACUCCCCGUCUUCAGAAAGUUCCUCAGCAGCCAUUCUCUGUUGCUCAGCCAGAAGUUGCUGAAGUUCCUCUGUAGACAAUUAUUCUGAGUGUUCCUCCACCAGUUCAACAUCAGCACUGUCUAUCUGUAAGCCUAUGGACUCUGCUGUAGUGACAGUGUCAUCAACCACAGGGUCAAUUGAAGUCUCAGGCCCCUCUACACAGCCUUCAAAAUCUCUCUCCUAUAACACUUUAGGAAGACACUUUCUUCCAGGCAGAUUUCAGUGUCCUUAGAGUGACAUUGGCCCAGGAUUUCUCAAUUAACCACACGUAGGAAAAGAUGUUGUAAUGUUCCUUCCAGAAAUCUUUAAGGGUUAAAUCUGUAUCUGAGAUCAUCUGAAAGCACAAGCAGCCAGCAUUUGGGUUGUAACCCAAGACUUCGGUCCUAAGUUAAAAUUAUGGUUGCAACCCAAGUUGUUCAUAUGUCAGGCUGGUUGUAACUCAAGGGUCCACUGUACAUCAUCAUCUACCACUUAUAAGGGGCAUGCUGACACGCCUUCCAUUCCCUCACGCCCGAAGACGCAGCUUCCACUUCUGUAGUAGCUGCUCUUCACUGCUCCUGGGCUGCCUAUGCGACAUUGGUUUGGAAAUCAAUGGAGUUUUCCUGUCAAACCAUAUCCACUUGGGCUGUGUUGGCUGCCAUCGCUGUCUCCAAAGCCAUCACUUGGCUGGAUCACCAUGACUGUGCCGCCAUGACUGCACUGGUCUGAUAAGCUGGUGCCUUCCAUCGCUUCGCUACCAUGAGUACCAAUGCUUGCUCUUGCUGUAGAAUUCAAGAAGAGCUCUUGUGGUGGAUUGACUAAUGGGCAACUUAUAACGCCCACCUGAACUGAAUCAGCGUGGUCUGGGCACGGAGGAUUCACCUGAAGAUUAUCAAUAGCCAUAAAAAGAGAACUGGAGGGGAAGAUCUUGGCCUGUUGAUUUUAUAGGAAACACUUGCUGCGGAUGGUUUUCCUGCUACAAACUAGGCUGUUCUCAUAGGAGGAGGAGCUCGGGCCUUGCUGUCACUGGGAAUGGCUGCUGUUUGUCAGGGGAGUUCCAAUGUAGGUCCCUUAGCUUGGUGGCACAAAUCCUUCAUCUCAAUGGCAUAGGUUUUCUGGCUUCCACCACUGGCCUUUGGGCCUUCCAGGUGCAGAUCCUCGAUAUGGACAAGCAUGAGACAUUGCCGUGGACUCUAGGCCUUUGGCUG
Molecule: long non-coding RNA, 2143 nt
Organism: Heterocephalus glaber (naked mole-rat)
Lineage: Eukaryota; Metazoa; Chordata; Mammalia; Rodentia; Bathyergidae
Source: RefSeq, a predicted model, not a curated record